This 253-nucleotide ribosomal RNA is filed under the name uncultured bacterium. RNAcentral describes it as "partial 16S ribosomal RNA". It matches the Rfam family "Bacterial small subunit ribosomal RNA", at positions 524 to 776 of the family's 1533-position model. The record is from RNAcentral.
UACGUAUGGUGCAAGCGUUAUCCGGAUUUACUGGGUGUAAAGGGAGCGCAGGCGGCACGGCAAGCCUGAUGUGAAAGCCCGCGGCCCAACCGCGGGACUGCAUUGGGAACUACCGGGCUGGAGUGCCGGAGAGGUAGGCGGAAUUCCUAGUGUAGCGGUGAAAUGCGUAGAUAUUAGGAGGAACACCAGUGGCGAAGGCGGCCUACUGGACGGUGACUGACGCUGAGGCUCGAAAGCGCGGGGAGCAAACAGG